GAUGAACGCUGGCGGCGUGCCUAAUACAUGCAAGUCGAGCGAACAGACGAGGAGCUUGCUCCUCUGACGUUAGCGGCGGACGGGUGAGUAACACGUGGAUAACCUACCUAUAAGACGGGGAUAACUUCGGGAAACCGGAGCUAAUACCGGAUAAUAUAUUGAACCGCAUGGUUCAAUAGUGAAAGACGGUUGUGCUGUAAGGUAUAGAUGGAUCCCGGCCGUAUUGGCUGGUUGGUGAGGUAAAGGCUUACCAAGGCAACGAUGCGUAGACGACGGGAGAGGGUGAUCGGCCACCUUGGAGCGUGGCCAGCCACAAUACUCCUGCGAGACGCAGCAGUAGCGUAUGUUCCGCAGUGGUCGAAAGCCUUACGGAGCGACGCCGAGUCAGUGAUGAAGGUCUUCCGAUCGUAAAACUCUGUUAUUAGGUGAGAACAAAUGUGUAAGUAACUAUGCACGUCUUGACGGUACCUAAUCAGAAAGCCACGGCUAACUACGUG
RNAcentral lists this ribosomal RNA (497 nucleotides) under uncultured bacterium. RNAcentral describes it as "partial 16S ribosomal RNA". It matches the Rfam family "Bacterial small subunit ribosomal RNA", at positions 28 to 507 of the family's 1533-position model. The record is from RNAcentral.